This is a long non-coding RNA of Vidua chalybeata, 448 nucleotides long. RefSeq lists it as uncharacterized. The transcript has 4 exons. The record is from RefSeq and is a predicted model, not a curated record. NCBI's taxonomy places the organism in Eukaryota, Metazoa, Chordata, Aves, Passeriformes, Viduidae.
GUUCUUCUGAAAUCUGCUUUAAAUGGUUGUGAGAAUGGCGUGUAGCUGAACUGCUGAGACUCUUCAUGACUUAUGUUUGCAGAACCAGCUGUCAUAAAGCAAACAGAACUUGACUGCUUGAGUCAGAGUCCAUUAAAAUGGGCUAAAGACUGAAUGUCCUCCAUCAGGCUGCUUGCUGUUGUACUCAAGUGUGCUCAGGUACAGUGCUGCUGUGCACCUUGGAACAAAAGUGACUAACAGCUCUCAACAACAGGAGUGGAAAUAAUGGCAGGGGUAGCAAAGACAUGAAGAGUUUUGAAAAGCAAUAUUCCUCAGUGUUGGGAAAGUAAUAAAAGGAAUACAAUUUUGUAUGAUGGGUUGCUGAUGUAAAGCACAGUCCUCCUCUUCUCUUUUCCAUUCCCAAUAUGCAAAAGCAGCAAAGAUGGCCAAUAUCAUUUAAAUCAGCAUC